Aricia agestis (brown argus) is the source of this 125-nucleotide long non-coding RNA. RefSeq lists it as uncharacterized. The transcript has 3 exons. The record is from RefSeq and is a predicted model, not a curated record. NCBI's taxonomy places the organism in Eukaryota, Metazoa, Arthropoda, Insecta, Lepidoptera, Lycaenidae.
GAGUGGAGUAUACAAUAUAUUGUUAAUCAGGGUAAGUUCGGAUACAGGGUAAGUCCGGAUAAUUCAAGUUAACACUAAAUUAAACUACAGUUACGGUACGGUACUACAGUUUGCGGUUGCAGUGC